AUGCCGCGGCCCGCGUGCGCCCGCUCCGCCGCCGAGUCACCAGGAAGGCCCCGGCGGCCCACCCCGCCAGCGCCCCACGCGGGGCCAGCGCCCCCCGCGCCGCCAGCGCCGGGUACCUCACGGCCGCCCCGCUGGCCGCCCGGGGGCGGGGCCGGCGCGCGGGGACUGCGCCUGCGCGGCCGGCCCUCACGGAGCCCGGGGAAGGUUGCGCCUGCGCAGUCGGCCCACUCCGGCCCGGGGGCGGGACUGCGCCUGCGCAGUCGGCCCAACCCAGCCCUGGGGGCGGGGCGACGCCUGUGGAAUCGCCCCUUCAGCGGCGCCUCGGCACCUAGAGCCGCCCGUCCGGCCGGGCCCCGGGGAGAGGCGGGCGUGCGGGCAUUGCGCCUGCGCGCGCCGGCCCCGCCCCCGGCCCCGCCCCGGCCGCGCGGGGCCCUGGGAGGGGUGCAGCGUCCGGCGGCUGCGGCGGCGGCGCGGGAGGGGCCGGGGGCGGACAAAGCCGAGGCCGAUGAAUGGGGCGCGUCCGCCUGCGCGGCCGUGGGGUCCCCGCGGAUUUUAUUCUUAAAUAAAUGCUCAGCCUCAGGCCUGGUUAGGCAGACAGCAGAAGAAGGCAGACCGCAGGCCCCUUGUCCGUGGGAGCAGUGGGAUGGCCCAGGGAGGCAGAGACUCCGAGAAGGUGAUGCAGAAGGAGCACCAUGCCAUCAAGCCACCAGCGUCGCCGUGCCCGAGACCAGCAGGUCCGCCCCGUGUGCGCGCACGUCUGCCCCGCGAUGCGUUUACCGGGAGAACUCCGGGAGCGGCAUGAGGUGACACGCUCACGAGUUCGCCCGUCCACUGCUCAGUGAGAUUCAUGCUUAGCGUAUUCAUAAACAUCCUGAGAGAGAGAGUUCUUCGGGCAGAACUGAAUAGUUAUGGUCAGUCAUGGAGAACCAGCGGGAGCCUCGUCCCCAGGGAGCAGGUGAUUCGGAGAAUACAAACUUGAAAAUAGAAGAGGAAGAUGACUCGCAAACCCCUAAUCACAGUGUGGAGAGAAUGGACUUGGGAAGUGAGCCGGAGGCCGGGAGGCAGGUGGGCCGCGGCCGGGAGCAGGCGGAGGGCGGCGAGGUGGGCUGCGCGGGCCGGCCCCCCGGGCGGCGCGCCUCCCCCGAGCCCGAGGACGACUACGGGGCGCUGCUGGCGCAGUACAGCAGCACCCUGUACAGCGUGGCCAUGGAGGCCGUGACGCAGAGCCUGCUCUCCGGCCGCGGCCUGGGCUCCAGGAAGAAGUCCCCGGCCUGGAAGCACUUCUUCAUCUCGCCGCGGGAC
RNAcentral lists this long non-coding RNA (1302 nucleotides) under Bos grunniens (domestic yak). Its description in RNAcentral is "lncRNA (ENSBGRG00000002056.1)". Lineage: Eukaryota; Metazoa; Chordata; Mammalia; Artiodactyla; Bovidae. The record is from RNAcentral.